Long non-coding RNA from Helianthus annuus (common sunflower), 1039 nucleotides. RefSeq lists it as uncharacterized. The transcript is spliced from 6 exons. Lineage: Eukaryota; Viridiplantae; Streptophyta; Magnoliopsida; Asterales; Asteraceae. The record is from RefSeq and is a predicted model, not a curated record.
CUCUAUCUCUCUUCCCUGCAGUGAAAGCUCCAUCUCUCUUCCCUGAAAACGUCCAAAACCCUACACACUCAAACCAUCUUAUCUGGUUCAAACGUCAGAAAGCUUCCACCUUUCCAGUUUCCUCAAACAGUUUCUCAUUCAAAAUUCAAAUUCAUUAUUUCCCCAAACCAGAUCUGCAAAACAAUUUCCAUAACCCAGAGAGAGACGAGACCACCGUUUAUUUGUUGUAUUCACACAUUCAUUCUUCACAUUUUUAUCUUCUCUUUGAAACCCUGAUGGAAACGCCCUUGAUUCAGAUGAUCGAUCUUCAUCUAUAAGUGUUUUGCUGUGUAAUCUAGUUUGAGAUCAAGAGCUUGGUGUUGAGAGUGUAGUGAAGUAACAGGAAGGAAUCAUGUUUGGUUCUAGCAAUCGAGAAAGUGCUGUCAUGACAAGAUUAUAGAGGAAGUGGAAAUGAUAAAUUGUUUACGUAAAAGAAUAACCCUUUCUACUUCAUUAGGAGGGUGUGUUCAGAAUUGAUUGUUUUUUUUGUCUUGAUGUGAAAAUUAAGGAGAGGUGGAGUUUCUGUUCGCGGAGGGAACAUACAACCUUUCAUUCCGCCUACAACUUGGGUGGUCGGGCAACUGCUAGGAGAUGAACUUUCUAUGAAUGCCAAUGAUGUGCGGAAGCUGGAAACCAAACUGGAAAAGAGUCUAAAGGUGUAAAAUAUUUACCAGUUAGCUGUGAAUAACUGAUUUUUUUCAUCCCUUCAUUAGCAGGAUCUAACAUUGGUUCGGGACCUGUGUGGACCGAUUAUAUCAGCUUUUUAAAAUCUUUACUGGAGGAUAGAGAUCAUGUUUAGGAGGGAGAGAAAGAAGCAGGGAAAACAAUUGUUGAGGCGUCCUUCGCCCUUCUUGCAUUUUGGCCUACAUAAUGCUUUGUAAACUUUUUUUUCUUCGUUAACAAUACCAGUUGACCUUUUGUCUCAUGGGAACAUAUGUUCUUUGUCUUUUGACAAUAAAGGCAUACGUAAUGUCACUGUGGAAUGUCUUCCAAAGCGCAA